This 797-nucleotide ribosomal RNA is filed under the name uncultured Eubacteriales bacterium. RNAcentral describes it as "bacterial SSU rRNA". It matches the Rfam family "Bacterial small subunit ribosomal RNA", at positions 589 to 1397 of the family's 1533-position model. Lineage: Bacteria; Bacillati; Bacillota; Clostridia; Eubacteriales. The record is from RNAcentral.
UAGUUGUGAAAUCCCUCGCUCAACUGAGGAACUGCAACUAAAACUGAUUUUCUUGAGUGCAGGAGAGGGAAAGCGGAUUCCUAGUGUAGCGGUGAAAUGCGUAGAUAUUAGGAGGAACACCAGUGGCGAAGGCGGCUUCUGGACUGUAACUGACGUUGAGGCACGAAAGUGUGGGGAGCAAACAGGAUUAGAUACCCGGUAGUCCACACUGUAAACGAUGGAUACUAGGUGUAGGGAACGAUAUGUUUUCUGUGCCGAAGCAAACGCAAUAAGUAUCCCACCUGGGGAGUACGGCCGCAAGGUUGAAACUCAAAGGAUUGACGGGGGCCCGCACAAGCAGUGGAGUAUGUGGUUUAAUUCGAAGCAACGCGAAGAACUUACCAGGGCUUGACAUAUACAGGAAUAAGUAAGAGAUUACUUAGCUCUUCGGAGCUUGUUACAGGUGGUGCAUGGUUGUCGUCAGCUCGUGUCGUGAGAUGUUGGGUUAAGUCCCGCAAGAGCGCAACCCCUAUUUUUAGUUGCCAGCACGUAAUGGUGGGAACUCUAGAAAGACUGCCGUGAGAAAUCGGAGGAAGGUGGGGACGACGUCAAAUCAUCAUGCCCUUUAUGUCCUGGGCACACACGUACUACAAUGGCCGUAACAGAAAGAAACGAAACAGUGAUGUGGAGUAAAACUUAAAAAGCGGUCUCAGUUCGGAUUGUAGGCUGAAAUUCGCCUACAUGAAGUUGGAAUUGCUGUAAUGGCAGGUCAGCAUACUGCCGUGAAUACGUUCCCGGGCCUUGUACACACCGCCCGU